AAACAAUAUUCAGUUAAUGGAAUUACACUUUUUUCCAUUACUGCUUGCUUGAUAUUGCCCUAACAACUUUUUCAUGAAUCAAUUUUGAGCAUUAUGUUUACAACGUAGUUAUUAUAGCACGAAUUAUGAGUCUAAAAUGCCAAAUACUUGCAACUAUUAUGUUAAUCACUGAAAUCUUAGUGUACUAAUUGCUCGCUAUAAGCUAGGUUAUUGCGCCCCUAAACCAACGUACUGACAACGCUACCUCCCCGGAACUCAAACUUUAACCGGGCAUGACUUGGUACAUCCAGUGACCCAGCAAAAAGUAGCCCUGGUACAGCCAGAAGUAGCAACAAAUCGCAAAAGGGGAUCCUUGUCUGACUGGUGGCUGGACCACAAUGACACUUGUUGGAAAAGGAAGGACCAAAGGUGCCAUCGUCGAGGGCCCAGAUAGAUGAAGAGAUUGAAGCCUGGGCUUCACACAAUCCUGUUAGUAACAAAAAAAGAAGGAAAAAAUGCUGUCCCAUUUGUCCAUAUGCCCAGCGCCAGAACCCAUUUAUACAUCUGGGUAGUGAGAAAAUCUAGGAAGAAGUCACCACCCACUGAUGAUCUCAUCCAAGUUUACCAAAGACUCCAAAGCAGUGUAGGAGAGGAAUGGUGGCCUGUUCGAACAGGCAUGGACUGAAUCGCCAGCUCUCAUCUCCCUAGUCACUCCGAUGGCCACGUGUCGCUCCUCGAUCAACAGCGAUUUCAAUGAAUGAUGCGUUGAUGUGGGCAAAAAGUGAAUCCUUUCUCGCCUUUGAACUCUGGUGUUCGUCGUAUCAAUCCAUUUUGAUUGCCGAGCAACUUGUGGGCACACCUCAACUUGUUAGUGGGAAGUAAUUUGCAAUAGAGUGACUUACUUUUAUUGCUGUAUUUUUUCACUUCACAUCAUUGUUAUUUUGAAAAAGCCUGCCAAAAUUCUGUUGACUGUUUGUUGUCGACAAGAGUCUAUGUUUCAUGAAUAACAAGGCUGUGUUCUGUA
Molecule: long non-coding RNA, 1003 nt
Organism: Lineus longissimus
Lineage: Eukaryota; Metazoa; Nemertea; Pilidiophora; Heteronemertea; Lineidae
Exons: 4
Source: RefSeq, a predicted model, not a curated record